UAAGCGUUUACUAUCGCCAGUACUGUUGACUUCUGCAGUUGGAUGUAAAGUAAACUGUCUGUACUGUUACCCUGUGAGGAGGUUCAGACAGGCUAAUUUCACAUACCCACUUCAGGAACAGGACCCCUUCACUAAAUCAUUACAACAAUGGCAGGAUUGAGAGCAUGGUUUGGACGUGGAUUAGAUCAGGAUUAUGUCGACUCCAUCAACAGCUUCUGGACAGUUCUUCUAUUGGCCGUGUGUUCUGUGGGAUCAUUCGCCAUGCGUUACAUCACUACACCCAUCAGUUGUUGGUGCCCUGCUCAAUUCGAACAGUCUCAGUACUCGUACACGCAGGAAUCGUGUUUUCUGAAGGGCUUGUAUUAUAUGAAGUCAAUGCCUGAUGAUUAUGACGACGAAAAACCGGAACCUGUACCCUCCUAUCACCUCUGGAUACCACUCAUACUCUUCUUCCAAGCGCUCGCUUUCAAACUACCAAACAUCAUAUGGAACAGCAGCAAGCACUUGUUUACUUUCAAUAUGGAAGAAACGGUGGAGUCCCUGAAAAGUGUACAAUUGACCAAUGCCGAGAAUAGCCAGGUCAUGUUCAGUGAUGCAGCCCGAAUAUUUGGAAGUCUGUUGAGAAGAAAUCGAAUCAUUUUG
This 642-nucleotide unclassified non-coding RNA is filed under the name Haliotis rubra (blacklip abalone). RNAcentral describes it as "innexin-19-like, transcript variant X3". The record is from RNAcentral. Lineage: Eukaryota; Metazoa; Mollusca; Gastropoda; Lepetellida; Haliotidae.